Molecule: long non-coding RNA, 6637 nt
Filed under: Phaseolus vulgaris (common bean)
Lineage: Eukaryota; Viridiplantae; Streptophyta; Magnoliopsida; Fabales; Fabaceae
Description: long non-coding RNA (PVUL_LNC001939)
Source: RNAcentral
GAUCAUUGAGUUGUGGUUUGGUAGGUCCAUUUAUUAAACGAUUCUGAUUGAUUUGACUUAUUUUGUUAUGAUCUUCCUCUGUCAAUGUCCAGUUAAAUAUCUGCAGAUUUUGAUUCAUCCUUCCCUUAUCAUAGCUCUUAGGCACGAAAGUCACUCCUUCUUCAUACAACCAUCUCAGACAAAUUUGAGCUAUGGACUUUCCAUGAGCAUCUGCAAUCUCUUUCAGAACAUCAUUCUCCAUCACUUCAUUUGGACCCUUGCUUGCACCUUUCCUCAGAGGAGAGAAUGCAGUUAUCACUAUCCCAUUUGCAUUGCAGAACUCUCUCAGCUUCUUCUGUUGCCAUGCAAGAUUCAUCUCCACCUGAAAUAGUUGUUGAAUUACAAAUAAAUAUUAAUUCAUCUUAUCAGGAACAAUUCACAUAAACAAAUGAAAACUAAAACAACACAAACAAGAUUAUUACUUGAUUCACCACAGGAAGGAUGGUAGCAACAGACAACAAAUUCUCAAGUUUCUUCACAGAAAAGUUGCUAACACCAAUAGCUCGUGUAAGGCCAAGUUUUUGGCACUCUUCCAUGGCUUCCCACACACCCUUCACAUCAAAAGGCAAGAGAUCUUCAACCUCAAUUGGAAAUGAGAAUUUCCCAGGCUGAGAACUGAUGGGCCAGUGAAUGAGAUAGAGAUCAAGAUACUCUAGUUGAAGAGUUCUGCACACCAAAAAGUUAGUGUUGGUCAAAUUGUCUAUGGUAUUUGAAAAGCAUGUUAAUCUGAAGCAAAACAAGUUACUAGUUAAAUUAUCUACAUAAACUUUUGUUAUAGUUUAGGGUUUAGGAUAUAAACUUUUGUUAUAGUUUAGGGUUUAGGAUUUAAUUCAUUUUAUCAGUAUAUUUUUUUAUAUUUUCAUAAUUUAUACCCACUUGCUGCUUAUUAUUAUUAAGUAUUAAAAAGUGAAUUUUAAGUCUAAUUCAAUUUCAUAACUUGAUAAGUCUAACAAAUUAUCAUUAAGAUAAAUUCAAAAUGGUUCUGCUACCGUAUUACGGAACAAUCUUUAAGCUUAACUCAAUAUCAUAAAACUGGUUUAUAAAGUAAAGUUUGCAUUUAUAUAAUACAAAAAAAUUUAUAUAAUACGAAAUGUUCAAAUCUUUACUCGAUAUCAAACAUGCAGUUUUUUAAAAAUGGACAUAAAUUGAGUUGAAUGACCUGAGUGAUUUGCGCAAGGCUGAAACAACAAGAUGAGGAUGAUUGUCAGUGACCCAAAGUUUGGAAGUGACAAAGAGAUCUUGACGAGAGACAAGGCCAAGGUCUACUGCUUCUUUGAGAGCUUCUCCAAGAGCUUGCUCAGAGCCAUAAGCAGCAGCAGUGUCAAAGUGUCUGUAACCCUGCUUUAUGGCCUCAAUGAUUGCCUCUUUUGUGUCUUUCUUACAAGUGAAAUCUGGUGCAGACCCCAUUCCAACCACUGGCACCCUCUGCUGGGAAGAGGAAUUUGGCAGCACCACUGUGGGGAUUUCAACAGCAACCAUUGUAGCAAGUGCUAAUUUACUAGUAUAGUUUUUUGUAGUUUUAGUGUAAUGUAACACUACUUGUUGCAGUUGAUGGAACUACUGGGGUGGUGGUCUCCCUUUUAUACAACAAAAUUGGUGUCUUCAUCUGCUUCUAUUGUCUUUGAAUUCCACCUUUGAAAUGUCUGCAAUUUGAGGUUAGGUGAGUUAAGGUGAGAUCUACCUCCAUUCAUUUCAUUCUUAUUUUAUUCAACAGUAGUUGACUUGUGUUCUAUACCAUUUUGGAUCAAUGUCUGUCUAUUGUCAUCAUCAAUUUGAAUAUGAUGAAAUAAUAAUAUUCAAUUGCAUUAAAACAAAAGUUAUCUUCAACUACACAAUAAUUUUCCAUGGUAUCUUAAUCAUGAACCCUUUUAAUUAUAAAUAACUGCAGAGGGUCCUGUUAUUGUGUAUUUUUUUCAUCUUUUGCAUGAAACUGAUCAAUGAUUGAGAACUUGUCUAAAAAAAUUGGAGGAAAUCUUGUAUCCACGAUCUUGGUGGUUGAAACUCCACCUAAAACAUAAUUUAUAAACUUCGAUAUGCCAUUAUGUGUAUAGUGAUCUGUAACAUUCAUUUGUUAUUUUAUCUAAUGUAAGAGACCGACAAAGAUAUACACCACAAACAUGUUACUGAUGAAUAUGUUGAGUAAUUGAAAGAUGGUGAAAAUAUUGUUUAGAUAUUUAAAAUGUCUAUAUACUAAUAUAUUUCUCGAUUAAUUACGGAUCAUCAUGCCCAACUAAAAUCCGAUUCAUUAUAGUAAAGAUUUAUAGUCUAACACUGUAAAUAAAUCUUAUAAAAAAAGUAAAGUACGUUUUAAUCAAUUAUCAAUAUUUAUUCUUUACCUAGGAUAUUUAUUUGAUUGUCGGAUACUUAUUUGAUUGUCGAAGUGUUUUUUUCAUAUGCACUUUGAUUGAAUAUCGAUAAAAAAAACUUAAAAAGGAAGAAAAAAAAAUCACCGACAUGUUAACAAUAAGGUGAGUUUGAGUCUCAGGUACUAUUUUAGGUACAAUUUUACAUUUGCUUGUUUUGGAAAAAGUAUUGUGAAUGCAGAAAAGUAAGCUUUUACAUGAUUCUUUGAAUCUGUCUCAGCAAGUUCAGUUCAUGAUUCAUCUUUUUUUAUGAGUUCAUUACGUGUUAUCAAAGCAUGAUGAAUCAUACAACAUUACAACUUUGGUGGCACUCAUGUGUUAAAUGCGUAAAAGAUCAAAUAUAGGAUCAAAUGAAUAUUACAUCACACACUAAAAAAAAAAAUCAUUAAGUAAAAAUUAAUAUUAAAAAAAAAUAUUUUAAUUUUUAAAUUAAUUUCUAUUAUUAUUAAAUAGUUUCUAAAUUGGUAUCUAGCUACCAAAAAUUUUGCUACCAGAUUUAGAAUCUAAAGUAAUUGGUAGUUAAAACUUUAGUAACUAAUUAACAAUUUAGAAACUAUCUAACUCAGAAAUUAAUUUAGAAACUAAAAAAGAAAAUCUCAAUCUCUACUAAUUAUUUUUUUUCUCUAAAAUUUGUUUCUAUUUCAUAAUUUUCUGGUACUACAUCUCUAAUUAUUAUUUUUUAAUAUUUAUAUAUUUAAACAGUAAAAUAUAAAUAUUAUGUCAUUUUAAAGAAUUUACUCUCUCUAACAAUGACACGUGCAUUUUAAACAGUAAUUGCUGAAAUUUCCACACAUUUAUAGAGCAGAUGGAAAAAAUUGGAUUGUAGCAUUUAUUCAAAUACAUUUUUGAUUUAGUGAGUGAACCUGUUGAAGAAGAAAUUUGGAGUCAACAUUUGCCAGUCAAAGUGAUGCACAUGCUUUAGAAUUUCUUUUACCACUUAUGACAACGAUUUUUGGAACUAUUUCUUAUAUAUUUUUAUUUUCUUUUGUUUUAAAAAAAAUUAUCACCUUUAAAUACGAAGAUGGUUAUUGAACUUGCAUUUAAUUUAAUAUAGCAAUAAUUUUCAUCGUAUGUGUAUUUGUUUUUAAUUCUUGUUCUGUUUCGUUAAUAUCUUCAACAUAUUUAAUUUAAUAUCAUAGACUACGAGACUUAGACACUUCUUUUAAAUGACGUAUCCAUGUCAGACACAUGUAUCGGUGUCGACACUCGUACUCAUAGGAUACUCAUCGGUGAAGUGUUCAAUUCAAAAAAUAUUUGUUGAAUUUUUGAAAAUUCUAGCACGGUUCUAACACAAUUUUAAAAUGUAUAAAUACAAUAAUUUUCUAAAAACUCAAAUUUAUUUUAUAAAUUUUUAUUAUGAUUAUAAAAAUAAGAAACAAAUUCUUUUGAACCAGUCAUGAAAAAUAUCUUCCUACUGUUGUCAAAAGAAUCUAAAACAUACUUUUGCACAUAAAUAUUUAUUUUGAAUUUAUAUAAUUCAAAAUUAUAUGAUAUAUAGAUUUGUAUCCCUAUAUCCUUCAUUUUAGAUAUUAUAUGUAUCUCUGUGUCUGUAUUCGUAUCGUAUCAGUAUCUGUGCUAAACAGAUGAGAGAUAUAAUUAUUUACAAAUUAUCAUAUUUCAGAUCACAUUAAAAGUAUAAAAGAAUUCUGAAUAUGUAUAAAUUAUUAAAAGUAUAAAUAAAGUGUUAAAGCAAAACACUGUAAAAGUUAUAUCACAUCUAUAAAAGCUAAAGCAUUGGUGUAUUAAUAUAUUAUAUUAUAUUAGUUUAUCACAACUUUUAUCAGAUUAAACUCAAGUAAUAGCAGUUAUUUAUUAUAUUUUAUAAUAGUCACACGUUUGUUUUAUUUUUUAUUGUUAUUUAUAAUUAUAAUUUUUAUUAAUUAUUAUAAUUAAUUAAUAAUUAUAUUUUUUAACAUAAAUUUAUUUAACGUUUAGUUUUAUUUAUUAAAUAUUAUUUUUUCAUAUUAUAUUAUAUUUAAUUAUGUAAAUUUAUUUUAAAUAAUAAUAAUUUGAGUUUAAAAUAUAAAUUAUGAGUAAUUAAUUAUAUAAAUUAUAGAUAUUUUUUAUUUUUCAUAUUUUAUUGUCUUGAUUUUCGUGUUUUUUUUUUAGGAGUUUCUUUUUCCUAUAGCUAUUCAAGAUUUUUGUUAAGAAUUCAAUGUUCAUGGGGCCUCAAAAGUUGACUAAGUUCUUGAAAAUUGUUCGGUCAUAUGAUAAGGUUGAUAAUGUUCAUAUUCAUCAUUAUUAUUAAUCAUUUUAGAUUAAUAAAAAAUAAUUUUUUAUUAGUUUUUAACUUAUUUAGUUCUCUUUUUUUAAAAGUAAUUGAAUAUUGAUUAAUUUUAUGUAAUUAUACCACUAAUUUCUAUUCUUUUUGUCUAACAAAAACAUAUUAAUUCUUCAUUUGGUAAAUUCAAAGAAAAAAAAAUUGUUAUCAAACACAAGUUAUUAUUAGUCAAAUGUUAAUAACUCUUUCUGCUGGUCAAGCUUUACUGUGUUAUGUCUCGAUAAGUUUUAAAAGUUUUUGCAUCAUUAAAUAAAAUAUUAUAAUAACAACUCCAUCACAUAGAAUAAAUUCAUUUUAUUUUUAAUAUAUUCGAAGAUAAGAAUUCGAGUUUAUUAUUUUAUUAUAUAUUUAUGAUAAAAAAUUCAAUAAUAAUAAAAAGAUCUCAAUCAAAGUAUUAUAAUGUCAUCACUCAUAGUAACUCUAUAUAUUUUUUAUAUAAUCUCUAACUUUAGCAUAAAAAAAAUAUUUUGUAGAUGAACUUUCGGUUCGAUAUUUAAAUAAAUUCAAAGUUAAUCUUCUCUGAGCACACAGCUCCAUACAAAAAUUUCAGCUUUUCAAUAGUUUUUUCAAAAACACGUUGUUUUAUGACAAAGACAUAUAAAGGUUAUUAUAAAAUGAUUUUUAAAUUUAUAUUUAAAUUAAUUAUUUAAGUUUUAGUGAUUAAUAUUUUAAAUUUUAAAUUAAUUUUUAAAAAAUUAAUAAGAACUAAUUUAAAAUAUAAAAUAUUAAGUAGUUAAAACUUUAGUAGAUAAUGAUUAAAUAUUAAUAUAAAAAUUAUUUUAUAAAAUAUUUUUAUUAAUAGUAAAAAGUACUUUAAAUAUCAAUAAUUUUUUAAUUUAUAAAAUAUUUUUAAUUUAAUCAAAUAAUACUUAAUUAUUUUAAUAUUUAAAAUUAAUUUUUAUUUAAUAAUUUUCUUGUAAUAUACCUACUAUCUAUUUAUUUAUUUAUUAUUUACUUUCCUAAACCAAUGAAACAAUUACUUAUGAGUCAACCAUUAUUUUACUCGUCACUGUUUACAAGGUGAUAUUUGUAGGGACGUGAAUGGUUGAAAAGUAAUAAUAUAAUAUUAAUUUAGUAAUAAUUUAUUUAUAAUAGGCUUUACCACUUACCCAUAUAUUGUAUUUUACUCUCAUAAACCUAUUAACCUUCAAAACUUAAUUUUUUAUACUAUAAAUCUCAAUAUUAUUAUUUUAAUUCUUUUAUAUUAUUUAAUUCUAAAUUUAUUUUUUAUUAUUUAUUUAUUUUUAAAUCCAUCACAACAUUUUUUUCAAAUGUAUAAUUGUAUUUUAGUAGAAUGAGAAUACAUUUGAGAAAAAGAAAAACAUAUUAUGUAGAAAUGAGUCCAUAUAUAGUUUCAUUUCUUCAGAAAACAAAAUGACAAAAGUUCAUUCAAAGUUCAAAAGCAACAUGAAGUUUAAAUUCCAAUCGAAGACAAAUUCAACGUCUGAGAGUUGUAGUUUAUAUUUCAUCAUCCCAAAGAUCAUUGAGUUGGGGUUUUGUGGGUCCAUUGAUCAAACGAUUCUGAUAUAUUUCACUUAUUUUCUCAUGAUCUUUCUCUGUCAAUGUCCAGUUAAAUAUCUGCAGAUUUUGAUUCAUCCUUCCCUUAUCGUAGCUCUUAGGCACGAAAGUCACUCCUUCUUCAUACAACCAUCUCAGACAAAUUUGAGCUAUGGACUUUCCAUGAGCAUCUGCAAUCUCUUUCAGAACAUCAUUCUCCAUCACUUCAUUUGGACCCUUGCUUGCACCUUUCCUCAGAGGAGAGAAUGCAGUUAUCACUAUCCCAUUUGCACUGCAGAACUCUCUCAGCUUCUUCUGUUGCCAUGCAAGAUUCAUCUCCACCUGAAAUAGUUGUUGAAUUACAAAUAAACAUUAAUUCAUCUUAUCAAGAACCAUUUCACAUAAACAAAAACAACACAAACAAGAUUAUUACUUGAUUCACCACAGGACGGAUGGU